Molecule: unclassified non-coding RNA, 1773 nt
Filed under: uncultured fungus
Lineage: Eukaryota; Fungi
Description: sequence contains 18S rRNA gene, ITS1, 5.8S rRNA gene, ITS2, 28S rRNA gene
Rfam family: Eukaryotic large subunit ribosomal RNA (bases 605-1773)
Source: RNAcentral
GGAUUGAUCAUUAACACAUGAUACAACCUUUUUCUCUCCCUCUCGAGGGAGAGAACUUGACACAAUGGAAAAUGUUAAAGUCCUUUAACAUUUGUAAAAAUGUUGAAGUGCCUUUACCAUCUUUUUUCCUCAAUAAUAAAAAAAAAAUCCACAAAAGUUACUACAAUGCAAUGUGAUUAUAUCAUAAACAAAAAACAAAAAAGCACAACUUUUAGCGACGGAUCUCUUGGCUCAUGCAACGAUGAAGAACACAGCGAAAUGUGAUAAGUAAUGUGAAUUGCAGAUGUCUGUGAAUCAUCAAGUCUUUGAACGCAAGUUGCGCCGCCAAAAGCGGCAUACUUGUUGGAGUGAUGGUUAAAAACAAACAAAAAAAGCUUCCUUUGCACACGUGUGCAAAGGGUGUUUGAGUGUCUAGAUGCUACAUUGCUAGUCUCUCAAAAAUUGCAUGGACAAAACCCUGAAUUCUUAACAAAAAAAGUAGAUGAUGCUGGCGUGUAUGAUUGCACAAUAACGUCAUCGAAGGAAAAAAUGUAAAGACCAAGGUUUUUUGUUCCAAUGGAACUCAAAUAGAAGGGGCGGUCUCUGCUUCCUCUUUUUACAUCAUCAUCCUCCAAUCAAGUAAGACUACUCCCUGAACUUAAGCAUAUUAAUAAGGGAAGGAAAAGAAACUAACUAGGAUUCCCUCAGUAAUGGCGAAUGAAGUGGGAAGAGCUCAGGUUUAAAAUCUGGCGGCCGCCGCCGUCCGAAUUGUAGUCUUUUGGCUGGUCAUAGGGGUGGGCACCGGCACAAGUCCGUUGGAAUGCGGCGCCUUAGAGGGUGAGAGCCCCGUAGUCGGUCGGCUGACUUGCUCCGUAAAUUGGCUAGUCGUAGAGUCGGGUUGUUUGGGAAUGCAGCCUUAACUGCGAGGUAAAUUCCUUGCAAAGCUAAAUACAGGCAUGAGACCGAUAGCGAACAAGUAGAGUGAUCGAAAGAUGAAAAGAACUUUGAAAAGAGGGUCAAAAGUACGUGAAAUCGCUAAAAGGGAAGCGAUUGGGUUCAGUGCGAGCGCGUGUCCGAAUCGGGCCUCGUGAGGGCAUAAUGGGCGGCGGAAAAGGCGGGCUGGUCAACACCGGUUCGACCGUUGAACAUGAAGCCUCCGUCGGGGUCUUACUUUUGGCACGCGUUGGUCAGCAUCGGUUCGCUCGAGUCGGCGGAAGAAGAGCUGGGGAAUGGAAGGUCGCCUGCGGGUGGCUGAAUACCCUGGUCGAUCAUCCGCCUGGUGGACUGAGGUGUCCGGUAAAAGCCGGACAGCAAAGUGGGUGCCUCUUAGGCAGGGCUCUGACGUUUGCAGGGGUCGGCGGGGUGUAGCACUAGUGCAGUACUGCGCUUCGCUGGCUCCUCCACGGAUGUCAUCCGCUUACCUCCUCUUGAUGCUGACAAAAUGGGCUCAAUCGUCCCGUCUUGAAACACGGACCAAGGAGUUCAGCAUAUGUGCGAGUAUUUGGGUGCGAAAAACCCACGUGCGCAAUGAAAGUGAAGGCUGGUUCGGCCAGCUCAGGUGGGAGGACGGCGUGACGAACGCCGUCUGCACCAUCGACCGGUCUGGAGAUACUUCGAAAGAUCUGAGUAAGAGCACAUCUGCUGGGACCCGAAAGAUGGUGAACUAUGCCUGCAUAGGGUGAAGCCAGAGGAAACUCUGGUGGAGGCUCGUAGCGAUACUGACGUGCAAAUCGUUCGUCAAAUGUGGGUAUAGGGGCGAAAGACUAAUCGAACCUUCUAGUAGCUGGUUCCCUC